CAUAGCGACUAUCGUGGCAUAUCAAUAAGCGGAGGAAAAGAAACUAACAAGGAUUCCCUUAGUAACGGCGAGUGAAGCGGGAAGAGCUCAAAUUUGAAAUCUUCAAGGUUUUACCUUGACGAAUUGUAGUUUAAAGAAGUGUUUUCUGUUGGAGUUUUGGUAAAAGUUCUUUGGAAUAGGACAUCAUAGAGGGUGAGAAUCCCGUAUUUGACCAUUAUUUCCAGCUGUGUGAUACACUUUCAAAGAGUCGGAUUGUUUGGGAAUGCAGUCCAAAAUGGGUGGUAAAUUUCAUCUAAAGCUAAAUACUGGCGAGAGACCGAUAGCGAGCAAGUACCGUGAGGGAAAGAUGAAAAGAACUUUGAAAAGAGAGUUAAACAGUACGUGAAAUUGUCAAAAGGGAAGCGUUUGACACCAGUGUUGUUUUUCCGAAAAUCAAUUACGAAUGUUUUGUUUUUGAGGAGUUAUGACUUCAUCGGCUUGCUCCUUUCUUUACGAAACUUUCUUAAUGCACUUUUCGGUUAACAAGUCAACAUCAAUUUCUUUUGUUGUAAAAGGGUAUGAGGAAGGUGGCUUUCUUUUCGGAGAAAGUGUUUAUAGCCUUGUGCCUCUGCAAUCGGAGAGAUUGAGGUCUGCAGCGUAGAUCCUUCGGGGUUAGAUACGUUUGUGCUAAGUUAUAGCUUUUCAUAGACAACUUGUUGACUAUGUUUAGUCAUUGUAGCUUACUCGCUUACUGCUAAUUUUACCUACGCUUAGGAUGUUGAUAUGCAUGACUGAUAU
RNAcentral lists this ribosomal RNA (777 nucleotides) under uncultured Neocallimastigales. Its description in RNAcentral is "partial large subunit ribosomal RNA". It matches the Rfam family "Eukaryotic large subunit ribosomal RNA", at positions 22 to 643 of the family's 3401-position model. Lineage: Eukaryota; Fungi; Neocallimastigomycota; Neocallimastigomycetes; Neocallimastigales. The record is from RNAcentral.